This 467-nucleotide ribosomal RNA is filed under the name uncultured bacterium. RNAcentral describes it as "bacterial SSU rRNA". It matches the Rfam family "Bacterial small subunit ribosomal RNA", at positions 45 to 507 of the family's 1533-position model. The record is from RNAcentral.
UGCCUUACACAUGCAAGGUCAACGGCAGCACGGGAGCAAUCCUGGGUGCGAGUGGCGAACGGGUGAGUAAUAUAUCGGAACGUGCCCAGUCGUGGGGGAUAACGUAGCGAAAGCUACGCUAAUACCGCAUACGAUCUAUGGAUGAAAGCGGGGGAUCGCAAGACCUCGCGCGAUUGGAGCGGCCGAUAUCAGAUUAGGUAGUUGGUGAGGUAAAGGCUCACCAAGCCGACGAUCUGUAGCUGGUCUGAGAGGACGACCAGCCACACUGGGACUGAGACACGGCCCAGACUCCUACGGGAGGCAGCAGUGGGGAAUUUUGGACAAUGGGCGCAAGCCUGAUCCAGCAAUGCCGCGUGCAGGAUGAAGGCCUUCGGGUUGUAAACUGCUUUUGUACGGAACGAAACGGUGAGCUCUAAUACAGUUUGCUAAUGACGGUACCGUAAGAAUAAGCACCGGCUAACUACGUG